This is a long non-coding RNA of Sinocyclocheilus anshuiensis, 331 nucleotides long. RefSeq lists it as uncharacterized. Lineage: Eukaryota; Metazoa; Chordata; Actinopteri; Cypriniformes; Cyprinidae. The record is from RefSeq and is a predicted model, not a curated record. The transcript has 3 exons.
UGUUGGUAAGAGUGCCACCGGAUACUUGCUAUGGAGAAUCAAAACUAUACAGAGAGGCAUUUCUAACGAGGAAUAUAAUUUGAAGGCCAGAAGAGACUAGGAAAGGUGUCUACGUCUCAAGUAGGGAUAUCUUCUAGAAGAGUGGAACAAGCAUUGAGGAGCAUCUUCAAGGCAUUGCUGGAAGUGCUCAGCCCUGUCUCCUGGAUCUGGGAAGAAUUAUUCAGUUCACCAGUACUUCAGUUUUGAUCAGUAUGCCAUUCCAUGCAAGUCAGUCUCUUCUCUUGAUGCCUUUGACAAACUGUUUAAUGGGGUUAAUUUACCCAAAAAAUAA